AAGAAAAAAAAUUAAGACUUAGCCUUGUGAAUGAAAAUGACAAUAAUCUGGAUAUGCUCAGUUGUAAAGGAAUUUUGAAUGCCACAUUAUGACCUUGGACAAGAAGAUAAAUACCAAUAUCAUAAAAAUUCAGGAUAUGUCUCAAACUGGUGUAAAAAGAAUGGGAGAGGAGGAGACAAGGAUAUCAACGAUGCCGCAUAACUCAAAGCAGAUCAGUAAUAUGCUUGGAAUAAAAAUGAAAACAACUGGCUGAACAGAAAACAUUUACAGUGAAAUAAAAUGAAAUAAUUUGCCAUGGAUUAAAACAAUACAAUAGCAGUGCAAUAAAAAUAUAUCACGUGUUUCUGUUUGUUUUUUUUGUGUGACUCUUUUACGUACUGUACAUGCACCCUAAUUUAGAAAAGAUAUGGUAAAGCUCACAAAGAUAACUUAAAAGCUUUGUAAUUGUGAUCACCUAUUGUCUUUCUGUACAUUUUGGAUUCCAAUUAUUCUUAUGCAGCUAAAUAAUAAUGUUGUAUCCAUCCAUAAUUCAGUUUUAUUAGUGUACCAUCACAAAAUUGAAUAACUUUCAUUUCCUUAGGCGGAUUUUUUGCUAGUAUUCCUUAAUAGAAAGAAUUUUUCUCCUGCUAGUGAUUUUUCUAAGUAGGUAUUUUUUUCCUGGUUAAAAUAUUUUAGGCGGAAUUUUUUCCGGCUAAGAAUUUUCCUAAGGCGGAAUUUUCUCCUGCUAGUGCUUUCCUUAAGCUGAAUUUUUUCCUGGUUAAAUUUUCCUAGGCGGAUUUUUUUCCCUCUACCCUAACUGUUUUCCUCCUAAGAAAAUUUGCAUAUUUCGCAGCGUAUUCCUGCUUAUAGGAGGAAUCUGUGAUAUGUAAACCUGAAAUGCCUUAGACGGAUUACGCCUAGUAGCUAGGAGGAAUAUCUGCUUUUUUCAGGGCGAAACUUUUCGUAUUGAGGCACUUGUUAUCUAUUUUAUAUGUGAUCUAUUUUAUUAUACCAAAAAACCUAAUAACUACAAUAAAAAAUACAUACAGAGUCAAAAGAAAAACUUGCAAACAAUAUUUCUGUUACUUCAAAGUGAACUUGUUUAAAUGAAUAGUCUGGUAUCAUUAAUUUCUGGGGUGACUAUUUUUUUCUAUAACCCUGAGUGAGAUGUGAUAUCUAUAUUUAUCAUAAACUUAUUAAUGAAAUACUGAGAAAUAUUGAUGCAAAUUUAUUUUUCAAUACAUUGAAACAUAUUUUCUGUAUUUCCACUGGUGUCAACCUUGCCAGACUUUUCUCCUAAAUUCAGCCAAUACAUAAAUGUUAAGGGAGAGUUUUUUUUCAAUUGUAAUGUCAAAAAAGAGAAAAAUGUAUAAAUAAACAGAAAAUUCAAGUUUUUUCUAUUAAUACAGGAUUUAUUUCUAUCUUGCAGUAUGAAAAUUAAAUUAUUUCACUUUUGGUUAUCAUGGUGUGGUUAUUGCCACUCAUGAAAAAAAUUGUAUAUCCUCUAUUUUAAUUAUGAAACUUAAGAUUAAUUCAAGUGAAACAAUAUAAUUAUGCAAUGAGAACUUUUGUUUCCCUUUGGUCAUGUACAAUAAUUUCAUAUCCUGGCAGUGUAUUGUGGAAUAAUAAGAGCAUAAAGGAAGAUCAUGUUUAAUUUAGUUUGUUUGGUGUCAGUUUUUAAGUCACAUAUCAACACAGUGGUUGUCAUAUGGCAACUUUUCAGCGUAACUCUGGCCGAGGAAGACCUCAGAUGCCCUUAUGUACAUAUUUCAAGCCUUAGACAACAUGACCCUUACCCCUAAUUUGACCUUUCAAAGUAAGUAAUCUUAACUACUUGACAUACUUAUCAUAAUACAAUAUGUAAUUAUGUUAAAUAAGACAAGUCAAAUAUAAUGUAUUUCUUAUAAGUAUACAUAAUAAUUCUAUGAUGUUAU
Molecule: long non-coding RNA, 1913 nt
Organism: Ruditapes philippinarum (Manila clam)
Lineage: Eukaryota; Metazoa; Mollusca; Bivalvia; Venerida; Veneridae
Exons: 2
Source: RefSeq, a predicted model, not a curated record